RNAcentral lists this microRNA (20 nucleotides) under Corchorus olitorius. RNAcentral's name for it is "bta-miR-24". Lineage: Eukaryota; Viridiplantae; Streptophyta; Magnoliopsida; Malvales; Malvaceae. The record is from RNAcentral.
AAGUUGUGUGUUUUUUCUUU